CUUCGAGCUGGUGAUGGGAAGCUGUCUGCUGAGAGAAGACGAUACGUUGGAAUCAUACCCAAACCCAUCAACACAAUAAGGGAUGUGCGACUGUAGCUGAUGCUGAGUCUUCCAAGCCCACCUGUGACGCCUCGCCUGAUAUUACUAGGUGAACGACAAGGUAAUCAUCAAAAGUGGAUGGUCAGCAUUGAAUCCUUAAUCGUUUGUGAAGGGUCCAACCUCGCCACAUUUCUAACAGGGAUUAUGACAUGUUUCUCCACCUUCUAUAUUCUGAAUCUGCAAUAUCAGGAGGAGGCAGCGUGCACCCUUGAAUUCUUCCAGAGAAAAAGGCCCAGAAGAAGCCUAAGAACAAUCACUAAUAAGUAAAGUGAAUGUUACUUGAUUUCUCAUGAAUGUUACUUGAUUCCCUC
Long non-coding RNA from Alosa alosa (allis shad), 410 nucleotides. RefSeq lists it as uncharacterized. The record is from RefSeq and is a predicted model, not a curated record. The transcript has 4 exons. Lineage: Eukaryota; Metazoa; Chordata; Actinopteri; Clupeiformes; Clupeidae.